This 1613-nucleotide unclassified non-coding RNA is filed under the name Daphnia magna. RNAcentral's name for it is "longitudinals lacking protein, isoforms H/M/V, transcript variant X1". Lineage: Eukaryota; Metazoa; Arthropoda; Branchiopoda; Diplostraca; Daphniidae. The record is from RNAcentral.
CUAGAGAGCGUUGCCUAGCUUGUCACAGUCGCCAUAUUGAGACUGAGGCCGAAACCGUUAUUUUCGUCACGUCUUACAGUCCCAUACAUUAUUUGCCUUUAUAAAACUAAUUGGUGUUAGUAAACCAGAAACCGCGGGGAUUUCAAGCACAUAAUUUAUUAUAAACUCCGAAGGAAGCAGAUGAGACUUUAGUCUUACAUUAUUAAAAACAAGCAAGCUUUUUAAACCAAACCGGAACAAAGUUCCUUCACCUAAUUAGUCAUGGAUGCUGAAGAAUUCUGUUUGAGAUGGAAUAAUCACCACCAUGUUUUAGUUAGUGUUCUCGAUAAAUUGCUGGAAAAGGAAUCAAUGUGUGAUGUGACUCUAGCUGCUGACCAUCAAUUUGUAAGAGUUCACAGAUUAGUAUUAUGUGCCUGUAGCAAUUACUUUGAGGAAAUGCUAAGUAAACAAGCAGACAAGCAGGCGUUUAUAUUCCUGAAAGAUGUCAGUUUUUCCGAUCUCAGGGCCCUUGUUGAUUACAUGUACAAAGGAGAAGUAAAUGUUGCCCAAGAACAACUGGCAAGCUUCCUACAAACAGCUGAAGCACUUGAUAUUAAAGGUUUAGCAUACAAAGAAGGAGACCAGUCAAAAUCCAAAUCAAGUCAAAAUGUCAGGUCUUCUGCUUUAAAAAGGACAUUGAAUGAAUCUGUACCUACUUCGUCAGUUGUAUCAACUUCCAGUAAUCCCCAAAGAAAUGACAAUGAUGCUUCUCAUCCACCUAUUCAAAACCUAUCCUCCUCAAGACCUAAGCCACCUCCUGCCAAGAAAGCACACAUUCUACCAUCAGAAUCUCCAACCAAUCCACCAAAUACAGACCCAGAUGACCAUUUUGUUGUUGUCGACCCAAAACUAGAAUCUGAAAUAGACUCGGACCAUAUGGAAGACCAACUCGAAGACAACGGACCAGAAUGGGCAUCACGAGCAUUAGACUGCGACGAUGAUUGGAGCACUUCCGACCCCGGCAUGAUAUCUAUUGUACCUAAUUCGACCCGCGAAAUCACUUUCAGCUCCACUGUAUCGGAAUCAAAACUUGCGGACAAUGUUGCCGGUCCAUCAGGAACACAAUCCAAGACCAACAAUUCAUCCAGUACAACAGCAUCUCGAGGCGCUGAAGAGAACGGUCCAUCUCGGGUCGCCUGCCCAAAUUGUCACCGGACUUAUAAGUAUCGAAGGCUUUUGUACCGUCACCUUCGUCAAGGCUGCGAUGUGGCGACACCGCAAACCAUGGCCAAUUGUCGCAAUGCCCCCCCAAAUCAUAUGCCCGUCUUCCGAUGCCAUUUUUGCCCCUAUGUCACGUUCAUUAAGGGAUUUUUAAAUUCACACACUCAGACCGAACACGCCCAUUAGACCCCAUCCAAGUCCCCCACUUGAGUUACGUAUGUAUUCGUGUUGUAACUCAGGAGUCAGGAAGGCCCUAUUAUCUUGACAACGGUGACGAGAUGGACGGUCAAUCUCGCGUCGGUUGCCCCAAUUGCCAUCGGACCUAUAAGUCCAACAAAUUUUUGUAUCGCCAUCUUCGACAAGGUUGCGGCGAAAUAGCUUCCGGCUUCCGCGAAGAUCAACCGUGCCAUCUG